UUCAAUGAUGAUUUAUUCUACUUUAUCACGACGGUCAACGUAGCUUAGGCUUUGACGACCACAGCCUUUGACAGGGCUUAGAUCUGAAC
This 89-nucleotide small nucleolar RNA is filed under the name Exophiala dermatitidis NIH/UT8656. Its description in RNAcentral is "Small nucleolar RNA snR73". It matches the Rfam family "Small nucleolar RNA snR73". Lineage: Eukaryota; Fungi; Ascomycota; Eurotiomycetes; Chaetothyriales; Herpotrichiellaceae. The record is from Rfam by way of RNAcentral.